CAGUCGCCGCGGUAAUACGGAGGGUGCAAGCGUUGUUCGGAAUCACUGGGCGUAAAGGGAGCGUAGGCGGCGUGGUAAGUCAGAUGUGAAAUCCCGGGGCUCAACCCCGGAACUGCAUCCGAUACUGCCAUGCUUGAGGGUUGGAGAGGUAGCUGGAAUUCUUGGUGUAGCAGUGAAAUGCGUGGAUAUCAAGAGGAACACUCGUGGCGAAGGCGAGCUACUGGACGACAUCUGACGCUGAGGCUCGAAGGCCAGGGUAGCGAAAGGGAUUAGAUACCCCCGUAGUCCCUGUCUCUUAUAA
Molecule: ribosomal RNA, 301 nt
Filed under: uncultured bacterium
Lineage: Bacteria
Description: partial 16S ribosomal RNA
Rfam family: Bacterial small subunit ribosomal RNA
Source: RNAcentral